This 761-nucleotide ribosomal RNA is filed under the name uncultured bacterium. RNAcentral's name for it is "bacterial SSU rRNA". It matches the Rfam family "Bacterial small subunit ribosomal RNA", at positions 28 to 776 of the family's 1533-position model. The record is from RNAcentral.
AUUGAACGCUGGCGGCAGGCUUAACACAUGCAAGUCGAACGGUAACAGGAAGAAAGCUUGCUUUCUUUGCUGACGAGUGGCGGACGGGUGAGUAAUGCUUGGGAAUCUGCCUUAUGGAGGGGGAUAACUACGGGAAACUGUAGCUAAUACCGCGUAAUAUCUUCGGAUUAAAGUAUGGGAUCUUCGGACCAUAUGCCAUAAGAUGAGCCCAAGUGAGAUUAGGUAGUUGGUGAGGUAAAGGCUCACCAAGCUGACGAUCUCUAGCUGGUUUGAGAGGAUGACCAGCCACACUGGAACUGAGACACGGUCCAGACUCCUACGGGAGGCAGCAGUGGGGAAUAUUGCACAAUGGGCGCAAGCCUGAUGCAGCCAUGCCGCGUGAAUGAAGAAGGCUUUCGGGUUGUAAAGUUCUUUCAGCGAUGAGGAAGGUUGCAUAUCUAAUAGGUAUGCAAAUUGACGUUAGUCGCAGAAGAAGCACCGGCUAACUCCGUGCCAGCAGCCGCGGUAAUACGGAGGGUGCGAGCGUUAAUCGGAAUAACUGGGCGUAAAGGGCACGCAGGCGGUUGUCUAAGUCAGAUGUGAAAGCCCCGAGCUUAACUUGGGAAUUGCAUUUGAGACUGGGCGACUAGAGUCCUCUAGGGAGGGGUAGAAUUCCACGUGUAGCGGUGAAAUGCGUAGAGAUGUGGAGGAAUACCGAAGGCGAAGGCAGCCCCUUGGAGAGAGACUGACGCUGAGGUGCGAAAGCGUGGGUAGCAAACAGG